Molecule: ribosomal RNA, 433 nt
Filed under: uncultured bacterium
Lineage: Bacteria
Description: partial 16S ribosomal RNA
Rfam family: Bacterial small subunit ribosomal RNA
Source: RNAcentral
AACGAACGCUGGCGGCAUGCCUAACACAUGCGAGUCGAACGAGACCUUCGGGUCUAGUGGCGCACGGGUGCGUAACGCGUGGGAACCUGCCCUUAGGUUCGGAAUAACUCCCCGAAAGGGGUGCUAAUACCGGAUAAUGUCUUCGGACCAAAGAUUUAUCGCCUUUGGAUGGGCCCGCGUUGGAUUAGCUAGUUGGUAGGGUAAAAGCCUACCAAGGCGACGAUCCAUAGCUGGUCUGAGAGGAUGAUCAGCCACACUGGGACUGAGACACGGCCCAGACUCUUACGGGAGGCAGCAGUGGGGAAUAUUGGACAAUGGGCGAAAGCCUGAUCCAGCAAUGCCGCGUGAGUGAUGAAGGCCUUAGGGUUGUAAAGCUCUUUUACCCGGGAUGAUAAUGACAGUACCGGGAGAAUAAGCGCCGGCUAACUCCGUG